RNAcentral lists this ribosomal RNA (491 nucleotides) under uncultured bacterium. RNAcentral's name for it is "bacterial SSU rRNA". It matches the Rfam family "Bacterial small subunit ribosomal RNA", at positions 24 to 509 of the family's 1533-position model. The record is from RNAcentral.
UCAGGAUGAACGCUAGCGGCAGGCUUAACACAUGGCAAGUCGAGGGGCAGCGCGGAGUAGCAAUACUCUGGCGGCGACCGGCGGAAGGGUGCGUAACACGUGAGCAACUUGCCCGUGACAGGGGGAUAAGCGAUGGAAACGUCGUCUAACAUCCCGUAACACGAGGGGAGGCAUCUCCCUUCGUUGAAAACUCCGGUGGUCACGGAUGGGCUCGCGGGACAUUAGCUAGUUGGCGGGGCAACGGCCCACCAAGGCGACGAUGUCUAGGGGUUCUGAGAGGAAGAUCCCCACACUGGAACUGAGACACGGUCCAGACUCCUACGGGAGGCAGCAGUGAGGAAUAUUGGACAAUGGAGGCAACUCUGAUCCAGCCAUGCCGCGUGAAGGACGAAGGCCCUAUGGGUCGUAAACUUCUUUUGUCAGGGAGCAAUAAGGGUCACGCGUGGCCCGACGAGAGUACCUGGCGAAUAAGCAUCGGCUAACUCCGUGCC